RNAcentral lists this unclassified non-coding RNA (334 nucleotides) under soil metagenome. Its description in RNAcentral is "partial contains 5.8S ribosomal RNA, internal transcribed spacer 2, and large subunit ribosomal RNA". The stretch from base 1 to 120 matches the Rfam family "5.8S ribosomal RNA", at positions 35 to 154 of the family's 154-position model. The record is from RNAcentral.
GAUGAAGAACGCAGCGAAAUGCGAUAAGUAGUGUGAAUUGCAGAAUUCAGUGAAUCAUCGAAUCUUUGAACGCACAUUGCGCCCCUUGGUAUUCCAUGGGGCAUGCCUGUUCGAGCGUCAUUUGUACCUUCAAGCUCUGCUUGGUGUUGGGUGUUUGUCUCGCCUCUGCGUGUAGACUCGCCUCAAAACAAUUGGCAGCCGGCGUAUUGAUUUCGGAGCGCAGUACAUCUCGCGCUUUGCACUCAUAACGACGACGUCCAAAAGUACAUUUUUACACUCUUGACCUCGGAUCAGGUAGGGAUACCCGCUGAACUUAAGCAUAUCAAUAGCGGGA